Molecule: ribosomal RNA, 992 nt
Filed under: Bacillus siamensis
Lineage: Bacteria; Bacillati; Bacillota; Bacilli; Caryophanales; Bacillaceae
Description: bacterial SSU rRNA
Rfam family: Bacterial small subunit ribosomal RNA
Source: RNAcentral
UGCAGUCGAGCGGACAGAUGGGAGCUUGCUCCCUGAUGUUAGCGGCGGACGGGUGAGUAACACGUGGGUAACCUGCCUGUAAGACUGGGAUAACUCCGGGAAACCGGGGCUAAUACCGGAUGGUUGUUUGAACCGCAUGGUUCAGACAUAAAAGGUGGCUUCGGCUACCACUUACAGAUGGACCCGCGGCGCAUUAGCUAGUUGGUGAGGUAACGGCUCACCAAGGCGACGAUGCGUAGCCGACCUGAGAGGGUGAUCGGCCACACUGGGACUGAGACACGGCCCAGACUCCUACGGGAGGCAGCAGUAGGGAAUCUUCCGCAAUGGACGAAAGUCUGACGGAGCAACGCCGCGUGAGUGAUGAAGGUUUUCGGAUCGUAAAGCUCUGUUGUUAGGGAAGAACAAGUGCCGUUCAAAUAGGGCGGCACCUUGACGGUACCUAACCAGAAAGCCACGGCUAACUACGUGCCAGCAGCCGCGGUAAUACGUAGGUGGCAAGCGUUGUCCGGAAUUAUUGGGCGUAAAGGGCUCGCAGGCGGUUUCUUAAGUCUGAUGUGAAAGCCCCCGGCUCAACCGGGGAGGGUCAUUGGAAACUGGGGAACUUGAGUGCAGAAGAGGAGAGUGGAAUUCCACGUGUAGCGGUGAAAUGCGUAGAGAUGUGGAGGAACACCAGUGGCGAAGGCGACUCUCUGGUCUGUAACUGACGCUGAGGAGCGAAAGCGUGGGGAGCGAACAGGAUUAGAUACCCUGGUAGUCCACGCCGUAAACGAUGAGUGCUAAGUGUUAGGGGGUUUCCGCCCCUUAGUGCUGCAGCUAACGCAUUAAGCACUCCGCCUGGGGAGUACGGUCGCAAGACUGAAACUCAAAGGAAUUGACGGGGGCCCGCACAAGCGGUGGAGCAUGUGGUUUAAUUCGAAGCAACGCGAAGAACCUUACCAGGUCUUGACAUCCUCUGACAAUCCUAGAGAUAGGACGUCCCCUUUCGGGGGCAG